Long non-coding RNA from Xiphophorus couchianus (Monterrey platyfish), 507 nucleotides. RefSeq lists it as uncharacterized. The transcript has 3 exons. Lineage: Eukaryota; Metazoa; Chordata; Actinopteri; Cyprinodontiformes; Poeciliidae. The record is from RefSeq and is a predicted model, not a curated record.
UGUCAGGGUCCCUGUGUGCAUGUGUGAGUGCGAGUAACGCAUCUCUUCCAGCGAGGAUCUUGGUGGAGAGCCUGGGCAGCCUUCACAGGUGGAGCUCCUCUGCCUCAUCAGAGUGCUGGGAGCAGCAGAGCCUUCACUCAGUGCUGGAUGAUUAACGUCUACAGGAUUUGUCACUGGAUCUUUCUGGAGGAAUCAGUUCAACCAUUUUCUCCUCCUGUGGAACCCACCAGUAAGGACCUGCCUGCCUGCUCCACUGUUCCCCCCCAUCUCCACUCUGCUCAUCAGACCUCUGGUUCUCGGUCACCACCUACCUCGCACUCGCCUCAGGAAGCGCCAUCACCACUCUCCACAUAGGACCCCUGGGCACCUCUCUCCCACGCUUCACCAAACCCAUUCGAAAGCGCCACGGAUUGCAUGUUGGUGACACUAACCACUCCCAGAAACGUCAAGGAAACCUGUUAAUUGUUUGUUCCUUUGAAAGAAAAUAAAACCUAUUUAUUACUUGGA